AGUGAACGCUGGCGGUAGGCCUAACACAUGCAAGUCGAACGGCAGCACAGUAAGAGCUUGCUCUUACGGGUGGCGAGUGGCGGACGGGUGAGGAAUAUAUCGGAAUCUACUUUUUCGUGGGGGUUAACGUAGGGAAACUUACGCUCAUACCGCAUACGACCUACGGGUGAAAGCAGGGGAUCUUCUGACCUUGCGCGAUUGAAUGAGCCGAUGUCGGAUUAGAUAGUUGGCGGGGUAAAGGCCCACCAAGGCGACGAUCCGUAGCUGGUCUGAGAGGAUGGUCAGCCACACUGGAACUGAGACACGGACCAGACUCCUAAGGGAGGCAGCAGUGGGGAAUAUUGGACAAUGGUCGCAAGCCUGAUCCAGCCAUACCGCGUGGGUGAAGAAGGCCUUCGGGUUGUAAAGCCGUUUUGUUGGGAAAGAAAAGCAGCAGGUUAAUACCCCGCUGUUCUGACGGUACUCAAAGAAUAAGCACCGGCUAACUUCGUG
Molecule: ribosomal RNA, 492 nt
Filed under: uncultured bacterium
Lineage: Bacteria
Description: partial 16S ribosomal RNA
Rfam family: Bacterial small subunit ribosomal RNA
Source: RNAcentral